AACGAACGCUGGCGGCAUGCCUAACACAUGCAAGUCGAACGCGUGUAGCAAUACACGAGUGGCGGACGGGUGAGUAACGCGUGGGAACCUGCCCAAUGGUAGGGAAUAACUGCGGGAAACUGCAGCUAAUACCCUAUGCUCCCUACGGGGGAAAGAUUUAUCGCCAUUGGAGGGGCCCGCGUCGGAUUAGCUAGUUGGCGGGGUAACGGCCCACCAAGGCUACGAUCCGUAGCUGGUCUGAGAGGAUGAUCAGCCACACUGGGACUGAGAUACGGCCCAGACUCCUACGGGAGGCAGCAGUGGGGAAUAUUGGACAAUGGGGGGAAACCCUGAUCCAGCAAUGCCGCGUGAGUGAAGAAGGCCUUAGGGUUGUAAAGCUCUUUCGGCGGGACGAUGGUGACGGUACCCGCAGAAGAAGCCCCGGCUAACUUCGUGCCAGCAGCCGCCGCAGU
This 452-nucleotide ribosomal RNA is filed under the name uncultured bacterium. RNAcentral describes it as "bacterial SSU rRNA". It matches the Rfam family "Bacterial small subunit ribosomal RNA", at positions 29 to 524 of the family's 1533-position model. The record is from RNAcentral.